RNAcentral lists this ribosomal RNA (307 nucleotides) under uncultured Mycoplasmatota bacterium. Its description in RNAcentral is "bacterial SSU rRNA". It matches the Rfam family "Bacterial small subunit ribosomal RNA", at positions 29 to 351 of the family's 1533-position model. Lineage: Bacteria; Bacillati; Mycoplasmatota. The record is from RNAcentral.
AGCGAACGCUGGCGGCAGGCUUAACACAUGCAAGUCGAACGAACACCUUCGGGUGUUAGUGGCGAACGGGUGAGUAACACGUAAGUGACCUAACUAUAAGACGAGGAUAACUACUGGAAACGGUAGCUAAUACUGGAUAGGAUAGAAAUAUUUAAAGAUGCCUUAAAGCAUCACUUAUAGAAGGGCUUGCGGCGCAUUAGCUAGUUGGUAGGGUAAAGGCCUACCAAGGCGACGAUGCGUAGCCGACCUGAGAGGGUGACCGGCCACACUGGGACUGAGACACGGCCCAGACUCCUACGGGAGGCAG